GCUAAAAUUUGUUUGUGACAUUGGGCUUCUAAUAUUAUUACCAAAACCUCCAACUAUUAGCUUCAUCUUCAAAGACCGUCGUUGUCGGCCGCCCAACCGUCAAUGAACGUUCUAUUGUGUUCCGAACAUCGAUUUUUUUCGAUCAAAUCUGCUGGGAGACGACUUCUCUGUAACCGCUUCAAGCUCUAUUGACUGGCUAUCGAAAUUCAACACCGUUACGGAUCUCGACUGCAUUCAAUCGUCGUCAUUAACGCUCAUUAACAUCAUCUAGCGAUUCCUCACAUGAUUUUUUAUUCAAUACACCCCCUCAAUUCAUCUGUUCUGUGAAUCUAAAGCUAUAAAUAUAUAUCAAAGAUUAUGUCACAGGAUUUGAGGAUCUUGAACAGAUGAACUUGCACAAGUCAAAUCUGUGUUAGAAUCAGUACACAAGCUGUUUAUGUAUAAGUUUAUUAAGUUACUACUUCUUCAAUGACUUUUACAGCGUGGUCGCAGCAUUAGGAUCUAUAUUUGUGUUCUCUCUGGUGAGCCAAGUCUUGCAAAGACAACCUCUCAAUGGAAUUACUACAGCUGCUGGUUUUGAUGUCUUCCAAAUAAUAUUUUUCACAGCGAGUUAUUAUUCUUUACUUGCUUACCUGUAGGUACAUAUAUCAUAUCGAAGGUUUCAUUUGUGUUGGAACUAAGUUGUUUUGAGUGAGUCUUCAAAAGUUCAUGUUUUAGUGACUUGAUCACUUUCAUAUAAUUAAGCACAACAAAGGACAAAUAUCUUUGAGUUAUAUCAACCAUCACACACAAUAAAAUUGCCUUACUUUAGUGUGUCAUGCUGCCAUUGUAUAUAAAGUCGUUCAAUAGAAAUAUUUGGGCUA
Raphanus sativus (radish) is the source of this 863-nucleotide long non-coding RNA. RefSeq lists it as uncharacterized. The transcript is spliced from 2 exons. Lineage: Eukaryota; Viridiplantae; Streptophyta; Magnoliopsida; Brassicales; Brassicaceae. The record is from RefSeq and is a predicted model, not a curated record.